UGGGGAAUUUUGGACAAUGGGGGCAACCCUGAUCCAGCAAUGCCGCGUGAGUGAAGAAGGCCUUCGGGUUGUAAAGCUCUUUUGUCAGGGAAGAAACGGUAGUAGCGAAUAACUAUUACUAAUGACGGUACCUGAAGAAUAAGCACCGGCUAACUACGUGCCAGCAGCCGCGGUAAUACGUAGGGUGCAAGCGUUAAUCGGAAUUACUGGGCGUAAAGCGUGCGCAGGCGGUUGUGUAAGUCAGAUGUGAAAUCCCCGGGUUCAACCUGGGAAUUGCAUUUGAGACUGCACGGCUAGAGUGUGUCAGAGGGGGGUAGAAUUCCACGUGUAGCAGUGAAAUGCGUAGAUAUGUGGAGGAAUACCGAUGGCGAAGGCAGCCCCCUGGGAUAACACUGACGCUCAUGCACGAAAGCGUGGGGAGCAAACAGGAUUAGAUACCCAAGUAGUCCCUGAGCGGGCUGGCAAGGCGCAU
Molecule: ribosomal RNA, 472 nt
Filed under: uncultured bacterium
Lineage: Bacteria
Description: bacterial SSU rRNA
Rfam family: Bacterial small subunit ribosomal RNA
Source: RNAcentral